CCAAACUUGGUCAUUUAGAGGAAGUAAAAGUCGUAACAAGGUUUCCGUAGGUGAACCUGCGGAAGGAUCAUUAACAAAUCUCAUGGCGUGCUCGGUGGGAGCAAUCCUGCCGGUGCGUACAUUAACCCGAGCCCGCGUCAGCGGGCUUUGGUUGGGCGGGUCUGCUGCGAGGCGGCCCGCUCCGGCUGCGUGUCCCGCGAGGGGUGUGCUGGCCACAUAGACGCUUGUUUGUUUGACAGAGUAUGCGUAUGCAACAAAAAUGACAACUUUUAACAAUGGAUCUCUUGGCUCUUGCAUCGAUGAAGAACGCAGC
RNAcentral lists this unclassified non-coding RNA (313 nucleotides) under uncultured fungus. RNAcentral describes it as "partial contains small subunit ribosomal RNA, internal transcribed spacer 1, and 5.8S ribosomal RNA". The stretch from base 1 to 73 matches the Rfam family "Eukaryotic small subunit ribosomal RNA", at positions 1759 to 1831 of the family's 1831-position model. Lineage: Eukaryota; Fungi. The record is from RNAcentral.